GACGAACGCUGGCGGCGUGCUUAACACAUGCAAGUCGAACGAUGAAGCCGGAGCUUGCUCCGGUGGAUUAGUGGUGAACGGGUGAGUAACACGUGAGCAAUCUGCCCUUGACUCUGGGAUAACUGCGGGAAACUGUAGCUAAUACCGGAUACGACACCUUGGGGCAUCCCAGGGUGUGGAAAGAAUUUCGGUCAAGGAUGAGCUCGCGGCCUAUCAGCUAGUUGGUGAGGUAAUGGCUCACCAAGGCGACGACGGGUAGCCGGCCUGAGAGGGUGACCGGCCACACUGGAACUGAGACACGGUCCAGACUCCUACGGGAGGCAGCAGUGGGGAAUAUUGCACAAUGGGCGAAAGCCUGAUGCAGCAACGCCGCGUGAGGGAUGAAGGCCUUCGGGUUGUAAACCUCUUUUAGCAGGGAAGAAGCGAAAGUGACGGUACCUGCAGAAAAAGCACCGGCUAACUACGUGCCAGCAGCCGCUGUAA
This 483-nucleotide ribosomal RNA is filed under the name uncultured bacterium. RNAcentral's name for it is "partial 16S ribosomal RNA". It matches the Rfam family "Bacterial small subunit ribosomal RNA", at positions 28 to 523 of the family's 1533-position model. The record is from RNAcentral.